GACGAACGCUGGCGGCGUGCUUAACACAUGCAAGUCGAACGAUGAAGCUGGAGCUUGCUCUGGCGGAUUAGUGGCGAACGGGUGAGUAACACGUGAGAAAUCUGCCCUUGACUCUGGGAUAACUGCGGGAAACUGUAGCUAAUACCGGAUACUUUCCCUGGUGGGCAUCCACUGGGGAAGAAAGAAUUUCGGUCAAGGAUGAUCUCGCGGCCUAUCAGCUUGUUGGUGAGGUAAUGGCUCACCAAGGCGACGACGGGUAGCCGGCCUGAGAGGGUGACCGGCCACACUGGGACUGGGACACGGCCCAGACUCCUACGGGAGGCAGCAGUGGGGAAUAUUGCACAAUGGGCGCAAGCCUGAUGCAGCAACGCCGCGUGAGGGAUGAAGGCCUUCGGGUUGUAAACCUCUUUUAGCAGGGAAGAAGCGAAAGUGACGGUACCUCCAGAAAAAGCACCGGCUAACUACGUGCCAGCAGCCGCGGUAA
This 484-nucleotide ribosomal RNA is filed under the name uncultured bacterium. RNAcentral's name for it is "partial 16S ribosomal RNA". It matches the Rfam family "Bacterial small subunit ribosomal RNA", at positions 28 to 523 of the family's 1533-position model. The record is from RNAcentral.